RNAcentral lists this unclassified non-coding RNA (343 nucleotides) under soil metagenome. RNAcentral's name for it is "partial contains 5.8S ribosomal RNA, internal transcribed spacer 2, and large subunit ribosomal RNA". The stretch from base 1 to 120 matches the Rfam family "5.8S ribosomal RNA", at positions 35 to 154 of the family's 154-position model. The record is from RNAcentral.
GAUGAAGAACGCAGCGAAAUGCGAUAAGUAAUGUGAAUUGCAGAAUUCAGUGAAUCAUCGAAUCUUUGAACGCACAUUGCGCCCGCCAGCAUUCUGGCGGGCAUGCCUGUUCGAGCGUCAUUUCAACCCUCGACUUCCCUUUGGGGAAAUCGGCGUUGGGGACCGGCUGUAUACCGCCGGCCCCGAAAUGAAGUGGCGGCCCGUCCGCGGCGACCUCUGCGUAGUAAUCCAACUCGCACCGGAACCCCGACGUGGCCACGCCGUAAAACCCCCGACUUCUGAACGUUGACCUCGGAUCAGGUAGGAAUACCCGCUGAACUUAAGCAUAUCAAUAGGCGGAGGA